ACCAAAGGAAUCAUUCUGAAAUCAACUCUUGAUGUUCAGCACCCUUCAGUCUGUAGUGCAGGUUUCAUAGAGCAGUGUGUUUAACAAUACAGAAAGAAAUUCCUGCUCCCACUGCCAGCCGACUAAACCACAAUAAAUUAUCAUCUUCUCCACAUAAAGGGGAACAGCAGAUGAAAAGGCAUGUGCAUGCUGAGAAUAGAAAGCUUAUAAAAGUGUCAAAUUUCCAGAAAAGAUUUCAACAUCAGUUACAUGAAAGAGCUGUGUAUUCCUUAGGGGUAGAGAGAGUCUGGCACUGGGCUGUUUCUCUGCUUGUGUCCCUGUACUGACCACAGCCUCUGAAGGAAAAGAGCAAACCCUUUGACUGGAGCCUGCAUUGCUGUGAGAAGUCGGUGUUUAAAAUGUUGUGGCACUGUUUGAGGAGAGGUGGCAGUGAGCUGUCCCCAUUCCAGCAGAGUUAGGGAGUACUGGGAGCAGAAGCCUUGUUCACAGAGGAGAAGACAUCAACCAUCCCUCUCCUGGAAGUGUUUGAAGGGUUUGGCUGACCCCAAACCCUCCAGCUGGAAAGGUGAGUGCCAGGGAUCCUACAAGGAAAGUGUUACCUGUGGUAGCAAGAAAUGA
This is a non-coding RNA of Cyanistes caeruleus (blue tit), 618 nucleotides long. Lineage: Eukaryota; Metazoa; Chordata; Aves; Passeriformes; Paridae. The record is from RefSeq and is a predicted model, not a curated record.